Molecule: ribosomal RNA, 827 nt
Filed under: Salmonella enterica
Lineage: Bacteria; Pseudomonadati; Pseudomonadota; Gammaproteobacteria; Enterobacterales; Enterobacteriaceae
Also listed under: 1 other name
Description: partial 23S ribosomal RNA
Rfam family: Bacterial large subunit ribosomal RNA
Source: RNAcentral
AGACCCGAAACCCGGUGAUCUAGCCAUGGGCAGGUUGAAGGUUGGGUAACACUAACUGGAGGACCGAACCGACUAAUGUUGAAAAAUUAGCGGAUGACCUGUGGCUGGGGGUGAAAGGCCAAUCAAACCGGGAGAUAGCUGGUUCUCCCCGAAAGCUAUUUAGGUAGCGCCUCGUGAAUUCAUCUCCGGGGGUAGAGCACUGUUUCGGCUAGGGGGCCAUCCCGGCUUACCAACCCGAUGCAAACUGCGAAUACCGGAGAAUGUUAUCACGGGAGACACACGGCGGGUGCUAACGUCCGUCGUGAAGAGGGAAACAACCCAGACCGCCAGCUAAGGUCCCAAAGUCAUGGUUAAGUGGGAAACGAUGUGGGAAGGCCCAGACAGCCAGGAUGUUGGCUUAGAAGCAGCCAUCAUUUAAAGAAAGCGUAAUAGCUCACUGGUCGAGUCGGCCUGCGCGGAAGAUGUAACGGGGCUAAACCAUGCACCGAAGCUGCGGCAGCGAACGUAUCACCCAAGACAACUUUACGGAGUUGACGAUUGACGGAGCGAAGCGACGUCAAAGCGUUCAUUAAAGUCGAGUUGGCUUAGGGAUACGUUCGUUGGGUAGGGGAGCGUUCUGUAAGCCUGUGAAGGUGUGUCGUGAGGCAUGCUGGAGGUAUCAGAAGUGCGAAUGCUGACAUAAGUAACGAUAAAGCGGGUGAAAAGCCCGCUCGCCGGAAGACCAAGGGUUCCUGUCCAACGUUAAUCGGGGCAGGGUGAGUCGACCCCUAAGGCGAGGCCGAAAGGCGUAGUCGAUGGGAAACGGGUUAAUAUUCCCGUACUUGGUG